Molecule: long non-coding RNA, 3158 nt
Filed under: Homo sapiens (human)
Lineage: Eukaryota; Metazoa; Chordata; Mammalia; Primates; Hominidae
Description: HSALNT0299270
Source: RNAcentral
AAGUUCAAGCAUGUGGGGCCAUCUUUGCCCCACUCAGUGCCCUUUCUGUAUACUCAGUGCAAACAAGAGUUUUCGUAAGCAGACCGCCUCCAGAGUUUGAAAACCAUUCAUCGUCAGAUCUUAGGCCAGACUUCCAAUUUAGGGCACUUUGCCCUCAGCCUCCGUGUGGUUUCUUUUUUUUUACAGGCCUCAACUGUGAGAAGAUCCGUUCUCACCACCCCUCAGUCCCUCUGCGCUUUGCUCUUGUCCUACCAGCACCCUUCCCCUGCCAAAGAUGCCCCUCCCCACUUCCUUACUCUCCCCCAGCCUCUGUGCCGGCCCCAGAACAUGAGUACAUGUGUGAGUGAGCACAUGCGUGUGUGCCUGAGUGCACAUGCAUAUGUGUGUGUGUAUGUAUGUGUGUGUGUGUGUGUGUGUGUGUAGGUAUGUGUGUGUGUGUGUGUAUGUAUGUGUGUGUGAAGCUGCCCCUGAGGUAGAAUCUGGUAGAUGGGGCAAGAAUUCAUUUAUUCAACUCAAUUGAUUAGGCACUUACUAUGUGGGGAGAUACAACAGUAAAAAGACAAAAAUCUGGCCGGGUGCAGUGGCUCACACCUGUAAUCCCAGCACUCUGGGAGGCCAAGGUGGGUGGAUCAUGAGGUCCGGAGUUUGAGACCAGCCUGGCCAACAUGGUGAAACCCCAUCUCUACUAAAAAUAAAAAAUUAGCCGGGCUUGGUGGCGUACUCCUGUAAUCCCAGCUACUCAGGAGGCUCAGGCAGGCAGGAGAAUCGCUUGAACCCGGGAGGCGGAGGUUGCAGUGAGUCGAGAUCAUGCUACUGCACUCCAGCUGGGGUGAUAGACAGAGACUCUGUCUCAAAAAAAAAAAAAAAAAAAAAGACAAAAGGCCCUGCCCUCCUAGUGGGUGAUGGCCCCUAGGAGCUGUGCGUUGCUAAGCAGGCCAGGGAGACAACUCUAGGAUACCAGCAAGGGCCGCCUCCACAAAACCAGAGAGAGGCCAGCUUGUAUGCCUCUGGGCGGUGCUGUCACCCCACUCCCAUCCCAUCCCAGUGAGGUGCUCUCCUUCCCCUCGGCGCUCCUCUGUGGAAGCAUUCUUUCUCCCAUAGGUAUUUGCAGUCUGUGAGGACCAAAGCCUGUGGCAAUCUCAACAUCACCUGUAGAAAGUUUUUCUUUUAGGGGGAGGUUGUAGCGGGAGGUUGUGGGGGGACAGAGUACAUUUUCCAGGCCGUCACAGAUCCUGAACUUAGGACUGGCCUCUUUCCUUCAGUAGCCACGUUGGCUCUGUGUCCAGGAGAACAGUCACUGUAGAUCCACGGAAUGGCUGUCGUGUGUCUCUGUUCACUACCGUGGAACGCAGGGGGUCCCAGGAAGGUGAGAAAGCCAGGGCUGGGUGUUGGGCUGAGCAUGGGGGAAGGAAGAGAGCUGGAAAUUACUGUCGAUCAGGUAGGGCAGUGAAGGAGGCUGGCAAAGUUGGUUAAGGUAGGAGGAUGCAGGUACUCAAAGGUCACAGAAUCACCGGAAAAUGAUAUUCAUUGAGUUCACUUGUCACUGUGUUUGCUCAUGGGAGGUAGUAGAGAGAGCACACUGAGAUGGCUUCCCAUUCAAAUCCUCCUCCUGUUCAUCUCCAGCUGCGUGUCUCCUGAUGAAUUAUUUAACCUCUCCGGGCCUCCUUUUGCUCAUUUGGAAAAUACUUUUAAUUGAUACUUAUUUUAGAAGGAGGUUGUAGAGAUAAUGAAUAGGAAGGGCAGGGCACAUUGAACAAGUUUCAUAAAUAAUAUGCACCAUAAUCAUGGCACUUAAUUCUUAUAGCAAGUCUUAAAGGUUUAUCUCCUAGGAGGAAUUUUAGAGAUCUUCCAGUUCAGCGGUUUUCGAACUUUGGCCUGCAUCAGAACCUCCUAGAUAGCACGUGUGUUAAAACACAGAUUUCUGGGAUCCACUCCCAGAGGCACUGGUUCAGUAGGUCUGGGUUGGGACCAGAGAAUGUGCAUUUCUAACUAGUUCCAGGGCGAUGCUGAGGUCGCUGGUCUGGGGACCACACUUUGAGAACCACUGUGCUAGCCUAAAUUCCUCAUUUUGCAGAGGACGGUCCUGAGGUUCAAUCCUGUUAGCUCCUUCCCCAUGGUCAAUAGAGUCAGCCUCCCAGAUCCAGGUCCAGGCCAAGGUCAGGAGAUCCAAGCUGGGAGACAGGAAAACAAAGUACAGCAUUCAGGAAAUGUGAGGAUGCAAAAAGCCACACUCCAGGCAAUGAGCCCCAGGGACGGACCCAAGGUUCCAGCGAGAGGAAUGAUCUUAGCAGACAGCAAACCAUUGCUGUGCUCCGGAAGAGAACUGGCCUCAGUGAGGUCCUGAGCCACAACAGUCCACGUGUCUGGCCUCAGGGAGCAUGUGUGUGUCAGGGAUGGGGGGAUAAGGAUUGUGUGGGUGACACAGGAGGGUGAGAACCGAGUGUAAGUGCAUCUGUGUGUGUGAGUGCUUCUGUGUGUCAGUGUUUUUGGGUGAGGGUGUGUAUUAGUACGUGUGUGAAUAUGUGAGCUUGUGUGAGUGUGUAUGUCAGUCUGCUUGGGUAUCAUCACGAUGCGUCACACACAGCGUGGCUUAAACCACAGGAAUUUAUUAGUUUACAGUCUGGAGGCUGGAAGGCCAAGAUCAUGGUAUUGAAAUGAUAAGAAAUCUGACUUUCUUCUAGCCUCAUCCUGGGUUUGUGAGUUUAUGAAGAAGCUGAAGAGCUCCAUCACUUCCCAGCUAAACAUAGCUCUUCAGAUCUCAGGGUUUAAGAUGAUUUCCUCCUAAGUCAACGCAGCAUUUUGCCUCCAUUCAAGCAACCCCUUGCUCCAAGCAUCGUGAUGUGACAGUGCAGCGUUCACCGGCCCACCCCAGCUGAUCUGCCCUAUGGCACAAGAAUAACAAUUGGAAAAACUUGGCUUCCCUCCGAGAGCAAUGCCAGCUUUGCCCAGGCCAGCCAUCUCUGGCAUAACUCUGUUCAUUUGAGCUUUCCUCAUGUGUGAUCAUCCUUGUAUGACCCCGAGGCCAGAAUCCCCACUUAUUAAAGCUAGGAAAGACAUUUUUGAGGCUCUAGUUAGUUUGUUCUUUCAUAGUGAAAGAACCAUUUGUGGGCUCAAAGGGGGAUGUGGCAAUAGGUUAUUUCGGGCUUUCGAAAGGCCUG